UUGUUGGCAUAACAUGCGACGUGCACAUUUUGAAUUGUUUUUUUUUUCUUCAUUUAAUUGAAAGGGCUGGUAAAAUAUACAAUAUUGAUGUGAAGAUCUAGAGCUACUGGUGGUUUUAGACCAUUCUCAGACAAAAUAGCAAAUAUUUGGAAUGUACUGCCUGUGUUUCACUGUUUCAGUGUUUGGUAAGAGGUUAAAUGAGUUCAUCACAAUCCACAAUCUUUGGAGAGAAACUGCACUCCAUAG
Molecule: long non-coding RNA, 246 nt
Filed under: Mytilus galloprovincialis (Mediterranean mussel)
Lineage: Eukaryota; Metazoa; Mollusca; Bivalvia; Mytilida; Mytilidae
Source: RNAcentral